This 492-nucleotide long non-coding RNA is filed under the name Ananas comosus (pineapple). Its description in RNAcentral is "long non-coding RNA (ACOM_LNC040795)". The record is from RNAcentral. Lineage: Eukaryota; Viridiplantae; Streptophyta; Magnoliopsida; Poales; Bromeliaceae.
AAAAAUCCGGUUCAAAGAUGGAAACUAUGAAUCGAUUGGUCUGGUUCGGUCCAAUGAAGCAAACUAGUUCAAGCGAAAAAAGAGGACACCGGUUUGGCUUAGGCAAAAAAAAAAGGAAACUUGAGCCAGUUUAGGGUAGAGGCCUCACUCAAUUAUAAUCGGUUCGGUUCAAACAAUUAAAAGGAAAAUGAGGUUCAAAAAUAAAAAUGUAUAAAGCAAUUGGUCUAGUUCAGCCCAAUGAAGCAAUUCGACUCAGUCUGGUUUAAGUAAAGACAGAGGAAAACAAUGUUUGGUUCAAGCGAAGAAAGAUAAUAUUAUUUGGAGCACUUGAGCGGGUUCAAGGUGGCACUCAUACUUAACAACUCGGUUCGGUUCAAGUAAAAGAAAAGAAAUCGUGGAGCCCACCACCAACAACAUUGAAGAGAAUGUUGCAAUGUGGCAAGAUUUUGGAGAAAUAAUAAAUAGUAAUAGAUAAUAGAUGUUUUUAAUUAA